This 1838-nucleotide ribosomal RNA is filed under the name Clostridiales bacterium. RNAcentral's name for it is "partial 23S ribosomal RNA". It matches the Rfam family "Bacterial large subunit ribosomal RNA", at positions 1 to 1841 of the family's 2925-position model. Lineage: Bacteria; Bacillati; Bacillota; Clostridia; Eubacteriales. The record is from RNAcentral.
UAAAAAACGAUCAAGCUAAUAAGAGCGUAUGGUGGAUGCCUUGGCAUCAGGCGCCGAAGAAGGACGUGAUAAGCUGCGAAAAGCCACGGGGAGUUGCAAAUGAACCCUGAUCCGUGGAUGUCCGAAUGCGGGAACGCACUCAUGCGAGAGUAUGAGUAUCAUUACAUGAAUUCAUAGUGUAAUGAGGGGAACCUGGGGAACUGAAACAUCUAAGUACCCAGAGGAAAAGAAAGUAAACAAACGAUUACCUAAGUAGUGGCGAGCGAACGGGUAAGAGCCUAAACCGUAUAUAGAAAUAUGUACGGGGUUCGGACACAGAACAUGAACUUAGUCAUAGUAACAGAAGAGUUUGGAAAGGCUCACCAAAGAAGGUGACAGUCCUGUACGUGAAACUAUGAUUAUAUCUACUGUGAAUCCAGAGUACCAUCGAGCACGAGAAAUUCGGUGGGAAUGAGGGAGGCCCAUCUCCUAAGGCUAAAUACGACCUGAUGACCGAUAGAGUAUAGUACCGUGAGGGAAAGGUGAAAAGCACCCCGGGAGGGGAGUGAAAGAGAACCUGAAACCGUAUGCUUACAAGCAGUAGGAGCGCAACGCCUUAGGGCAAGCGUGACUGCGUACUUUUUGUAGAACGGGCCGGCGAGUUACGAUGUGUUGCGAGGUUAAGACAUUAAGUGUUGGAGCCGAAGCGAAAGCGAGUCUGAAAAGGGCGAAAUAGUAGGACGUCGUAGACCCGAAACCGAAUGACCUAUCCAUGAGCAGGUUGAAGCAGAAGUAAAAUUCUGUGGAGGACCGAACGCACGCCUGUUGAAAUAGUCGGCGAUGACUUGUGGAUAGCGGAGAAAUUCUAAUCGAAUUCGGAUAUAGCUGGUUCUCCUCGAAAUAGCUUUAGGGCUAGCCUCGAUGUAGAGAGUACCGGGGGUAGAGCACUGAAUAGGCUAGGGGCCUUCACGGGUUACCGAACCUUAUCAAACUGCGAAUACCGGAUACUUAUAAUCGGGAGUCAGACGGCGUGAGAUAAGUUUCGUCGUCAAAAGGGAAACAGCCCAGAUCUACAACUAAGGUCCCCAAGUUAAGGUUAAGUGGUAAAGGAUGUGACAUUGCUUAGACAACCAGGAUGUUGGCUUAGAAGCAGCCACUCAUUCAAAGAGUGCGUAAUAGCUCACUGGUCGAGUGAUGUUGCGCCGAAGAUUACCGGGGCUAAAACCUUACACCGAAGUUUAGGAAUUAAUGUAAAUUAAUUGGUAGAGGAGCAAUGUAUGCGAGCAGAAGCAGUAUCGAAAGGGGCUGUGGAUUGCAUACAAGAGAGAAUGCCGGCAUAAGUAGCGAGAGAGAAGUGAGAAACUUUUCCGUCGAAAGCCUAAGGUUUCCUGGGGAAGGUUCGUCCGCCCAGGGUAAGUCGGGACCUAAGUUGAGGCUGAAAAGCGUAGAUGAUGGACAACUGGUUGAUAUUCCAGUACCUCCGCAAUAGUUCGAAGCAGUGACACAGAAGGAUAGUCAGACCACGGGGAUGGAAAUUCCGUGGCUAAAUCAUGAGGCUUACACGUAGUGAAGUACGCGUGUUAUAAGGCUAGGUGAUGACGGGGAGAGCUUAGGCUCGAAGCUGAUGAAUUCACGCUGGCGAGAAAAACUGCUAAGGUAGAUAUUGAGGAGCCCGUACCGCAAACCGACACAGGUAGGCGGCAAGAGAAUUGCAAGACGAACGGGAUAACUGUUGGUUAAGGAACUCGGCAAAAUGACCCCGUAACUUAGGGAGAAGGGGAGCCUAGCGAUAGGUCGCAGUGAAAAGGCCCAAGCGACUGUUUAUCUAAAACACAGGUCUCUGCAAAAGCGCAAGCUGA